GAGUUUGAUCAUGGCUCAGAUUGAACGCUGGCGGCAGGCCUAACACAUGCAAGUCGAGCGGAAACGAGUUAACUGAACCUUCGGGGGACGUUAACGGCGUCGAGCGGCGGACGGGUGAGUAAUGCCUAGGAAAUUGCCCUGAUGUGGGGGAUAACCAUUGGAAACGAUGGCUAAUACCGCAUGAUGCCUUCGGGCCAAAGAGGGGGACCUUCGGGCCUCUCGCGUCAGGAUAUGCCUAGGUGGGAUUAGCUAGUUGGUGAGGUAAGGGCUCACCAAGGCGACGAUCCCUAGCUGGUCUGAGAGGAUGAUCAGCCACACUGGAACUGAGACACGGUCCAGACUCCUACGGGAGGCAGCAGUGGCGAAUAUUGCACAAUGGGCGCAAGCCUGAUGCAGCCAUGCCGCGUGUGUGUAGAAGGCCUUCGGGUUGUAAAGCACUUUCAGUCGUGAGGAAGGUAGUGUAGUUAAUAGCUGCAUUAUUUGACGUUAGCGACAGAAGAAGCACCGGCUAACUCCGUGCCAGCAGCCGCGGUAAUACGGAGGGUGCGAGCGUUAAUCGGAAUUACUGGGCGUAAAGCGCAUGCAGGUGGUUUGUUAAGUCAGAUGUGAAAGCCCGGGGCUCAACCUCGGAAUAGCAUUUGAAACUGGCAGACAAGAGUACUGUAGAGGGGGGUAGAAUUUCAGGUGUAGCGGUGAAAUGCGUAGAGAUCUGAAGGAAUACCGGUGGCGAAGGCGGCCCCCUGGACAGAUACUGACACUCAGAUGCGAAAGCGUGGGGAGCAAACAGGAUUAGAUACCCUGGUAGUCCACGCCGUAAACGAUGUCUACUUGGAGGUUGUGGCCUUGAGCCGUGGCUUUCGGAGCUAACGCGUUAAGUAGACCGCCUGGGGAGUACGGUCGCAAGAUUAAAACUCAAAUGAAUUGACGGGGGNCCGCACAAGCGGUGGAGCAUGUGGUUUAAUUCGAUGCAACGCGAAGAACCUAACCUACUCUUGACAUCCAGAGAACUUUCCAGAGAUGGAUUGGUGCCUUCGGGAACUCUGAGACAGGUGCUGCAUGGCUGUCGUCAGCUCGUGUUGUGAAAUGUUGGGUUAAGUCCCGCAACGAGCGCAACCCUUAUCCUUGUUUGCCAGCGAGUAUUGUCGGGAACUCCAGGGAGACUGCCGGUGAUAAACCGGAGGAAGGUGGGGACGACGUCAAGUCAUCAUGGCCCUUACGAGUAGGGCUACACACGUGCUACAAUGGCGCAUACAGAGGGCGGCCAACUUGCGAAAGUGAGCGAAUCCCAAAAAGUGCGUCGUAGUCCGGAUUGGAGUCUGCAACUCGACUCCAUGAAGUCGGAAUCGCUAGUAAUCGUGGAUCAGAAUGCCACGGUGAAUACGUUCCCGGGCCUUGUACACACCGCCCGUCACACCAUGGGAGUGGGCUGCA
RNAcentral lists this ribosomal RNA (1431 nucleotides) under Vibrio natriegens. RNAcentral's name for it is "bacterial SSU rRNA". It matches the Rfam family "Bacterial small subunit ribosomal RNA". Lineage: Bacteria; Pseudomonadati; Pseudomonadota; Gammaproteobacteria; Vibrionales; Vibrionaceae. The record is from RNAcentral.